Molecule: RNA transcript, 3073 nt
Organism: Anopheles bellator
Lineage: Eukaryota; Metazoa; Arthropoda; Insecta; Diptera; Culicidae
Gene: eIF5
Gene name: eukaryotic translation initiation factor 5
Exons: 8
Source: RefSeq, a predicted model, not a curated record
CACUUCUCUUCAGCAAACUGUGAACGAAGUUGUGUGAAAAUCUUUUACUCCGCAGAAUUUGUGCUUGUUCCGGCAACAUUGUGCAUACCGUGUCUACUGUUCGUAGUGUGAGAUCUAGAAAAGUGAAGACAUUGAAUUGCCCCAAAAGAGCACCAUCAGCGUACGGAAUCAGCACCGGAUCAACCGUUGAGACGUUAGCUGCUGGUGUAGCCCUAACGUGUAUCCCCGGGUUAGCCUGCACAGUCGGAAGUAGUACAGUUGUGCCAAUUGAUUACCAACAGAAAGGAUCGCCUGGAGCGGCGGCUAGCGUUUUAUAUGAAUUUAGAAAACGUACAAGAAACAUCAGCACUCAAAGGAGCACCGCUAUCUCCCAUAUUACGGAGUUUCAGUGGUACGACGUGCAUGAUUUCGCAUAGUAGUAAAAGUCUUAGGACUUCCAAAUAUUCUAGCAAUAGACAUCGAAAAUUACAGCCGUUCAGAGAAACGUGAAAUUGCCCCUCGAAAAUAGGAUUCUACCAAUUUUAUUUAAAUCAAGAAUAAGCAUCAACCUUAACUAGUUUACUGCUACCGGUACUGUGAAUUACAUACAUUACGUACAUAUUGUUAAUCGUACGCUAUAAGCGUCGCCCCGCAAGUUGGAGGCCAAGGAAGCAGGAACCGUGGAAUAAGACGAGGCAAGGUAAAAGAUCAGCGUGUAAAGUGUUUGGGAUCGACUGGCAAGGGACGUGCCCAUUUCUAACGGAAGCAGUCUUUGUGUGUGUGUCUGCUAGGCGUUUGCCAACGGGUUAAUUUUUGCUCUCGGUCAAGAGAUAAGCACGAUCUUCUAUCGACCCACGCCAACACCGUACCACAAAUGCUUUUGCUAUCAACCAGCUUGCGAGUCGCGAACGCCGAAAUCGUUUUUUCCCAACACAUCCGCCCGGGUGGCAAAAGAAGUGCCACAGCAGCUAGUCGCCCAGCGCCGUACAACGACGACGAACCGACCCAAAUGCAUUUGUCUCGUGUGCAGCAGCAGUGCCGCUGGUUUCGCUAAUCGAAGACAAGCCCAAUGCUGUUCCCUUCCCCCGGCAUUUAGUGCAGCUGACCGUUGAACCUGCAAGCCAACCGUUGGAACUUUGCCUUAAAGCUGGCCGAUUCGGAUUGAUUAAAGCAAAAACGACGACGAUCCCUUUACUGUCCGCUACGCGGUGAGAGGAAGAUACAAACGGAACAUCCUUUUGUUGUACUUUUUGGAACACCGUUGAGCGUGGAGCAGCAAGUAAUCGGAUCUUUAUCUCGCGAUCUUUGCCGGUAAAUUAUUGCUGUGCACGUAGAAAUCGCUGAGAGCUUCAGUGUCCGGUCAGCAAAAUGGCUACCGUUAACGUGAAUCGUAAUGUCACCGACAUCUUCUACCGUUACAAGAUGCCCCGCAUCAACGCUAAGGUAGAAGGUAAGGGCAAUGGCAUUAAAACGGUCAUCGUCAACAUGGCGGAAGUGGCCCGAGCCAUUGGUCGCCCGGCAACCUAUCCGACCAAGUACUUCGGUUGCGAGCUUGGAGCCCAGACGCAGUUUGACUACAAGAAUGAAAGAUUCAUUGUAAAUGGUUCGCACGAUGCGACGAAGCUGCAGGACCUACUGGAUGGUUUCAUUCGUAAGUUCGUCCUGUGCCCGGAGUGUGACAAUCCCGAAACCGAUCUGAUCGUGUCGUCGAAGAAGGGAACCAUUGCUCAGGGCUGCAAGGCGUGCGGUUUUCACGGCCCACUCGAGGUGAACCACAAGGUGAACACGUUCAUAAUCAAGAAUCCGCCGAACGUGAACCCGGCCAGCCAGGGCGCGUCGCUUACCGAGGGCAAACGCAGCAAGCGCGCGAAGAAGGUGGGCGAAAACGGGGAAGAGUCUACCGGCAAUCUGAACACGACCAAUGGUGGCGCAGAAGAGGCGAACGGUGACGAAUCACCGAAUGAAUCGAUGUCGACGUCGGCGACUACGGCGACUGUGAAGACCCACGAGGAAGAAGACGUAAGCUGGACGGUGGACACGUCGGAAGAAGCAGUACGGGCCCGGAUGCAGGAUCUGACUGAUGGAGCAAAGAACAUGACCGUGUCGGAUGAUUUUGACAAGACGGAAAAGGAACGGCUGGACAUCUUCUAUGAGCUGGUGAAGCGCAAGCGAGACGCUGGUGAGCUGGACAACGUGCAGGUACACAGGGAACUGGCAACCGAGGCGAGUCGGUUGGACAUUCAGUCAAAGGCUACGCUGGUGCUGGCGGAAUUGCUGUUUUCGGCCAAUAUCAUUCAGGAGGUGCGCAAGUACCGCAACCUCUUGCUGCGCUUCACUCACGAGGACAAAAAGGCGCAGAAGUACUUUAUCGGCGGUUUGGAGCAGAUCAUCUCGCUGCAUGCCGAAGAGCUGAUGCCGAAGGUGCCCGGCAUUCUGAAGCUGUUCUACGACAGUGACAUCCUGGACGAAAAAGUUAUCCUGGACUGGUCGCAGAAAGUGAGCAAGAAGUACGUGUCCAAGGAGAUUGCUGGUCAGAUUCACGAGCGUGCCAAACCCUUCAUCCAAUGGCUGCAGGAAGCGGAGGAAGAGGAAUCUUCCGAGGAUGAGGACGAUUCGGAUGUGGAGAUCGAGUACGACGACCGUGCAAAGGUUGACUCGUUGCGGAAGGAGCCGGCAAAGCAGGACCCGAAGAAGGCGGCCGUUGCCGCCAUGCAGCAAGACGACGAAGAUGGCGACGAUCUUAACAUUGACGAUAUCUAAGAAGCGCACCAUUCUCCUCGCUUACGUCCCAUCGUUCGCCUUAUCGUCUUUUAUACCCGGCACACCAUGUCACUCGAGCAGGCGGAAUUAUCAUCUGCUUUAAACUAAAACCCCCAGCGGUUCACAUUGACAAGAAAAAGGGUAAAUUUAUUUUCUUCGCAUCAAAACGUUUUCGGAGAACAUCCACACGGUUCUGAGGCUGGUGGCCAGUCUAAGUGCAGCUUACUUCCCCGUACUCUACCGGGCAGCACCUUUUGUCCUGCAUCGUCUUCUACUUCCUAUGUUACAUACAAUAAUAAGCCAAUAAGCAAGAAAACCCAAUAAAAAUUAUAAU